AUGGCGAUGGCGGAGGCGGAAAGCAAUGGCUUCGAGUUCCUGUCGGAUCCCGUGAACAGAUUUCCACCGAUGGAUCUAUCCCACGACAACUCCCUGGAUUAUGACGAAGGCGCUGAAGUUCUUAUCCGUGCCCGAUCAGAUUCCAGCAUGCGCGACGCUGGGGAUGCAGCACUCACAGUGGUUGCCGAUCUGAACAGUACUUGCGAAGCCAUCGCCCUGACGGUGGCACCUUCAGAGACGUCAACAGGGAGGGACGAUCCUCACGCGCCUGGAUGGACAAGAAGAGUCCGUGUUGGUAGAGCGCCAACGGAACGCCCCCCCUGCGCCGGCAGGACAACUGGAAAUGAGAAGACACCAACCGUCAUAGUACCUGUAGUGGGAAGCACAUUUGAUUACUACAAUCUCUAUUCCUGGGAGACUGGAUUUGAAAUAAGUUAUGGCAAGAGCAGGCUUAAUGUGGAAUGGAUAGAACAAAAUGCAUGCAGGAGAUAG
Molecule: ribosomal RNA, 492 nt
Filed under: Triticum aestivum (bread wheat)
Lineage: Eukaryota; Viridiplantae; Streptophyta; Magnoliopsida; Poales; Poaceae
Description: partial small subunit ribosomal RNA
Source: RNAcentral